UACGGAGGGUGCAAGCGUUAUCCGGAUUCACUGGGUUUAAAGGGUGCGUAGGCGGGCAUGUAAGUCCGUGGUGAAAUCUCCGAGCUUAACUCGUAAACUGCCAUGGAUACUAUGUGUCUUGAAUGUUGUGGAGGUGAGCGGAAUAUGUCAUGUAGCGGUGAAAUGCUUAAAUAUGACAUAGAACACCAAUUGCGAAGGCAGCUCACUACACAAAUAUUGACGCUGAGGCACGAAAGCGUGGGGAUCAAACAGG
This 253-nucleotide ribosomal RNA is filed under the name uncultured bacterium. Its description in RNAcentral is "partial 16S ribosomal RNA". It matches the Rfam family "Bacterial small subunit ribosomal RNA", at positions 524 to 776 of the family's 1533-position model. The record is from RNAcentral.